RNAcentral lists this ribosomal RNA (865 nucleotides) under uncultured bacterium. RNAcentral's name for it is "bacterial SSU rRNA". It matches the Rfam family "Bacterial small subunit ribosomal RNA", at positions 1 to 882 of the family's 1533-position model. The record is from RNAcentral.
AUCCAGACUUUGAUUCUGGCUCAGGACGAACGCUGGCGGCGCGCCUAACACAUGCAAGUCGAACGAGAGAUGAGGAGCUUGCUCUUCGAAUCGAGUGGCGAACGGGUGAGUAACGCGUGAGGAACCUGCCUCAAAGAGGGGGACAACAGUUGGAAACGACUGCUAAUACCGCAUAAGCCCACGGCUCGGCAUCGAGCAGAGGGAAAAGGAGCAAUCCGCUUUGAGAUGGCCUCGCGUCCGAUUAGCUAGUUGGUGAGGUAACGGCCCACCAAGGCGACGAUCGGUAGCCGGACUGAGAGGUUGAACGGCCACAUUGGGACUGAGACACGGCCCAGACUCCUACGGGAGGCAGCAGUGGGGAAUAUUGCACAAUGGGGGAAACCCUGAUGCAGCGACGCCGCGUGGAGGAAGAAGGUCUUCGGAUUGUAAACUCCUGUUGUUGAGGAAGAUAAUGACGGUACUCAACAAGGAAGUGACGGCUAACUACGUGCCAGCAGCCGCGGUAAAACGUAGGUCACAAGCGUUGUCCGGAAUUACUGGGUGUAAAGGGAGCGCAGGCGGGAGAACAAGUUGGAAGUGAAAUCCAUGGGCUCAACCCAUGAACUGCUUUCAAAACUGUUUUUCUUGAGUAGUGCAGAGGUAGGCGGAAUUCCCGGUGUAGCGGUGGAAUGCGUAGGUAUCGGGAGGAACACCAGUGGCGAAGGCGGCCUACUGGGCACCAACUGACGCUGAGGCUCGAAAGUGUGGGUAGCAAACAGGAUUAGAUACCCUGGUAGUCCACACCGUAAACGAUGAUUACUAGGUGUUGGAGGAUUGACCCCUUCAGUGCCGCAGUUAACACAAUAAGUAAUCCACCUGGGGAGUA